GGACAGGCUGUAGCUCAGUGGUAGAGCAUCUGCUUUGCAUGCAGAAGGUCCCAGAUUCAAUCCCUGGCAUGUCCA
Non-coding RNA from Podarcis lilfordi (Lilford's wall lizard), 75 nucleotides. The record is from the annotation of a GenBank genome assembly. NCBI's taxonomy places the organism in Eukaryota, Metazoa, Chordata, Lepidosauria, Squamata, Lacertidae.